UACGAAGGGACCUAGCGUAGUUCGGAAUUACUGGGCUUAAAGAGUUCGUAGGUGGUUGAAAAAGUUAGUGGUGAAAUCCCAGAGCUUAACUCUGGAACUGCCAUUAAAACUUUUCAGCUAGAGUAUGAUAGAGGAAAGCAGAAUUUCUAGUGUAGAGGUGAAAUUCGUAGAUAUUAGAAAGAAUACCAAUUGCGAAGGCAGCUUUCUGGAUCAUUACUGACACUGAGGAACGAAAGCAUGGGUAGCGAAGAGGAUUAGAUACCCUCGUAGUCCAUGCCGUAAACGAUGUGUGUUAGACGUUGGAAAUUUAUUUUCAGUGUCGCAGCGAAAGCGAUAAACACACCGCCUGGGGAGUACGACCGCAAGGUUAAAACUCAAAUGAAUUGACGGGGACCCGCACAAGUAGUGGAGCAUGUGGUUUAAUUCGAAGAUACGCGCAGAACCUUACCAACACUUGACAUGUUCGUCGCGACUCUAAGAGAUUAGAGUUUUCAGUUCGGCCGGACGAAACACAGGUGCUGCAUGGCUGUCGUCAGCUCGUGUCGUGAGAUGUUGGGUUAAGUCCCGCAACGAGCGCAACCCUCACUUUUAGUUGCCAUCAUUAAGUUGGGCACUCUGAAAGAACUGCCAGUGAUAAGCUGGAGGAAGGUGGGGAUGACGUCAAGUCCUCAUGGCCCUUACGUGUUGGGCUACACACGUGCUACAAUGGUAUCUACAACAGGAAGCAAGACUGCGAGGUCAAGCAAAUCCUUAAAAGAUACCUCAGUUCGGAUUGCACUCUGCAACUCGAGUGCAUGAAGCUGGAAUUACUAGUAAUCGUGGAUCAGCGUGCCACGGUGAAUGCGUUCCCUGGGUCU
This 857-nucleotide ribosomal RNA is filed under the name uncultured bacterium. RNAcentral describes it as "SSU rRNA". It matches the Rfam family "Bacterial small subunit ribosomal RNA", at positions 524 to 1381 of the family's 1533-position model. The record is from RNAcentral.